Molecule: transfer RNA, 77 nt
Filed under: Alphaproteobacteria bacterium
Lineage: Bacteria; Pseudomonadati; Pseudomonadota; Alphaproteobacteria
Description: tRNA-Met
Rfam family: tRNA
About the family: Transfer RNA (tRNA) molecules are approximately 80 nucleotides in length. Their secondary structure includes four short double-helical elements and three loops (D, anti-codon, and T loops).
Source: RNAcentral
CGCGGAGUAGAGCAGUCUGGUAGCUCGUCAGGCUCAUAACCUGAAGGUCUGUGGUUCAAAUCCACACUCCGCAACCA